Molecule: ribosomal RNA, 253 nt
Filed under: uncultured bacterium
Lineage: Bacteria
Description: partial 16S ribosomal RNA
Rfam family: Bacterial small subunit ribosomal RNA
Source: RNAcentral
UACAGAGGUCUCAAGCGUUGUUCGGAUUCAUUGGGCGUAAAGGGUGCGUAGGCGGCGCGGUAAGUCUGGUGUGAAAUCUCGGAGCUUAACUCCGAAACUGCAUUCGAUACUGCCGUGCUUGAGGACUGGAGAGGAGACUGGAAUUUACGGUGUAGCGGUGAAAUGCGUAGAUAUCGUAAGGAAGACCAGUGGCGAAGGCGGGUCUCUGGACAGUUCCUGACGCUGAGGCACGAAGGUCAGGGGAGCAAACGGG